ACUGAAUAGAUACCCAGGUAGUCCACGCCGUAAACGAUGAGUACUGGGUGUAGGUGGGGUUAGAGCCAUCUGUGCCGAAAGCAAACGCGUUAAGUACUCCGCCUGGGGAGUACGGCCGCAAGGCUAAAAACUCAAAGGAAUUGACGGGGGCCCGGCACAAGCAGCGGAGCGUGUGGUUUAAAUUACGAUGCAACACGAAGAACCUUACCCAGGUUUGUACAUGCACGUAGUAGUGAAGCGAAAGCGGAACGACCCUUCGGGGUAGCGUGCACAGGUGCUGCAUGGCUGUCGUCAGCUCGUGUCGUGAGAUGUUGGGUUUAAACGUCCCGCAACGAGCGCAACCCCGUGUUGCUAGUUACACGUGUCUAGCGAGACUGCCGGUAUCAAGCUGGAGGAAGGUGGGGUAUGACGUCAAGUCAGCAUGGCCUUUAUAUCUGGGGUCUACACACACGCUACAAUGGGUCGGUACAACGGGAACGUCGAAGGGGUCGACCUGGAGCGAAUCCCACCGAAACGCCGUUCGUAGUUCAGAUUGCAGGCUGCAACUC
Molecule: ribosomal RNA, 548 nt
Filed under: uncultured bacterium
Lineage: Bacteria
Description: bacterial SSU rRNA
Rfam family: Bacterial small subunit ribosomal RNA
Source: RNAcentral